UUAUUUUAGCUUAUUGUGUUAGUUUGGGCUGGAAGUUACCGGUAGUUCGAUUAUUUGUCUCUUUUGUUUGUUUUAGGAUUAGUUGACCUUUUUUAGGUAGUUUAGGGGGAGACGCGGGGAGCGACGGCCCUUUGCCAGGUUGGUCCAGCGUCUUCCCAUCUUCUGUUCUUUUUGGCCGGGAUCUCCAGUCCCUUUUUUUUCUCCUUGGUUGUUACUUUUGGGAAUAUCUUUGAAUAAUUUAAAGUGCUCCUAUUAUGCUCAUUUUCAGGUUCAUAAUUGUAUUUAGAGGCUGUACCAGAAUAGGUUUACAUGGUUUAAUU
Long non-coding RNA from Sander lucioperca (pikeperch), 320 nucleotides. RefSeq lists it as uncharacterized. The record is from RefSeq and is a predicted model, not a curated record. The transcript is spliced from 2 exons. NCBI's taxonomy places the organism in Eukaryota, Metazoa, Chordata, Actinopteri, Perciformes, Percidae.